GUGCUCACUUCGGCAGCACAUAUGCUAAAAUUGGAAUGAUACUGAAAAGAUUAGUAUGGCCCCUGCACAAGGAUGACAUACAAAUUCAUGAAGCAUUCCAUAUUUUU
This 107-nucleotide small nuclear RNA is filed under the name Urocitellus parryii (Arctic ground squirrel). The record is from RNAcentral. Lineage: Eukaryota; Metazoa; Chordata; Mammalia; Rodentia; Sciuridae.